This 206-nucleotide long non-coding RNA is filed under the name Medicago truncatula (barrel medic). RNAcentral describes it as "long non-coding RNA (MTRU_LNC000593)". The record is from RNAcentral. Lineage: Eukaryota; Viridiplantae; Streptophyta; Magnoliopsida; Fabales; Fabaceae.
GAAAAUAGCCAUCAUGACUUCCUUUUCCAAUGAUGAAGGUGAAGGCUAUUCGAAUAUAUUUUCUGUUCAUAUGUAACUCAAACAGUCAUCACCCUUUUGGUUUUGAACUUAUUCUUCUCUCACAAUUUGUUUAGUUUCUCAGAAUGACGACACUUCCAAGAAAGUAAGCUCAAAUAUUGAUGAUAUAAAAGCUUCCAAAUCUAAAC